GCAGUGGUGGUCCAGUGGUAGAAUUCUUGCCUUCAGCGCAGCAGACCCAGGUCUGACUCUUGGCCAAUGCA
Molecule: transfer RNA, 71 nt
Filed under: Loxodonta africana (African savanna elephant)
Lineage: Eukaryota; Metazoa; Chordata; Mammalia; Proboscidea; Elephantidae
Rfam family: tRNA
About the family: Transfer RNA (tRNA) molecules are approximately 80 nucleotides in length.
Source: Rfam by way of RNAcentral